GGGCUGUGACCUCCGCCAUUGCCCCAGCUAAGCAGCGAGAGCUUGCUGAAGCCCAGAGGGUUGUGGGACCAUGAGGGCAGCUCUCUGGACCCUGGGACUCGGGCCCCUUCUUUUCAAUCUCUGGGCAGUCCCCAUUGGUGGACCAGGUGCUCUGAGGCUGGCGUACAGACACAGCACGUGCGACCGAGUGGCGUUGGUCCGACACCACGGGGCAUGGGGAUACGUGUGCAACCAGCAGUGGAUGCUGGCAGAGGCCUCUGUCGUGUGCAGGCAGCUGGGCUGCGGCCCUGCCGUGGGCGCCCCCAAGUAUGUCCCGCUGCCUGGAGAGAUGGCCCAGCCCUGGCUUCACAACGUGUCCUGCCGGGGCAACGAGUCCUCCCUCUGGGAGUGCAGCCUUGGCUCAUGGUGCCAGAGCCCGUGCCCCCACGCAUGGGUGGUGGUCGCGCUGUGCUCCAAUGGCACUUUCCGGGAGCUCUGGCUGGUGAAGGGCCGCAGUCCCUGCGCGGGACUCCCCGAGAUCAGAAACGUGAAUGGGGUGGACCGCCUCUGUGGCCUGCAUGUGGAGGAGGCCAUGGUGUUCUGCCGAGAGCUGGGGUGCGGCCCUGUGCUCCAGGCCCCCCGCCGGGACGUGGGCGUCAUCAGGAAGUACCUGGCCUGCAGGGGUACCGAGCCCACCAUCCGCAGCUGCAGACUGGACAACAACUUCCGCAGCGGCUGCGACCUGCGGCUGGUCGCAGAGGUGGACUCCUCGGGUGACGCUGCCACCUGAUGUUCCCAGUGACCCUUGGGAUGAUGCUGGGCCUGGACCUGGGGAGGGCAGGGGGAAGGGGGGUGGGCGUUCCCACGGAUGGGCCCCCCUGUCCUGCAUGAGACAUUGGGCGCAGAGGUGGGAAAGGGCCUCAGCUCUCACGCUGGUUCUCAGCAGAGUGGAGCUGAGUUUCUGGUGGCCCCACAGAGGUGUCCUGGCUCAGAACCCGCAGGCCAUCUAGGGGUCCUGGCUGCCGCUGCAAGUCUGAGCCGCCUCAGCUGUGAUCUCUGCAUGUCUAACAUGGAUCGGGGUUGGGUAGAGGUCACUUCUUCCCAGCCCUGCCUCAAGUGUGUGUGAGAUGCACUGGUCUCACAGCUCCUGGCCUUGUUGUGCAUAUGAGGAGCAGCUGAAAUGAGGUGGAUAGUCUGCCUGCUGCGGUACCCCAGAGAGGGUGGUGCUCAGUGGACCAAGGGGUGCCCUGACCUCACCUCUGGGAUUGCAGAGGGUGUUGCUGUCAUGGCCCCGGACAGGCAGAGGCUGUGAAAUACGUGGGCACCUGCAGCAGGUGACCCUGACCCUGACCUUGGUGAUGCGGCCAAGGACGUCUGCUCUGCUCUGGGUGCCGGGUGGAAGGGCCUGUGGCUGCAAGUUCCUGCCUGUGCUUGGCAGACCCUCUGCCUAGUUGCAGGUGAUAGCCCCUGGCUGAAGCCUUCUGCAGUCUGAGGCUCAGGGCCAGGCUGUUGACCUGAGAACACCUGUCUCCUGCCUGAGAGGACGUCUGCCCCCAGGACACACCGAGGCCCGACUGGUGGGCGGCGAGCACCCCUGCGCCGGGCGCCUGGAGGUGAGGCGGGGCCUGACCUGGGGCACCGUCUGUGAUGCGGACCUGGACCUGGCCACGGCCCACGUGGUGUGCCGGGAGCUGCAGUGCGGGGCGGUCGUGUCCACACCCAAGGGUGCCCGCUUCGGCCGGGGCUCGGGGCCGGUGUGGACGGAGGCCUUCCGCUGUGUGGGCAACGAGUCGCUGCUGUUCCACUGCCCGCGGGGGCGCGGGAGCCAGUGUGGGCACGGCCACGACGCGGGGCUCAGGUGCUCAGGUGAAGUCCUGUGUGUGGGCUCUGAAGGCUCAGCCCUGCCUUGUUCUCUGUCAAAUCCCUUCGUGCCCUAAAGGUGCCUCUGGCCAGUAGGUGUGGGUGCUUUUGAUGUUUGCUUCUGUUGGUUGAAAGAAGCGCAGGGAAGAGACUGGGUGUAGAGUGAUGUACCCCAAGGCUGCAGCUAAGAUCAAAUUCUUCUGGAGAGCUGUGUGAGCUGGAUGCUGAUGCAGAGGAGGGUGGGGGAGCUGGUGAGACCAAGGCUGGGCUCUGUGCCCAUCCCACUGGGUGUGAAGGAAGGAAAUGACCACAGACAGCCAUGUUCUGGGUUGGCCGUCUGCAAGCCAGGCUGGCUCCUCCUCUCCCCCAGAGUUCAGGAUGGUCAACGGCAGCAGCAGCUGUGAGGGCCACGUGGAGCUCCAGGUGCAGGGGUCCUGGGCACCCCUCUGUGCCACCCACUGGGACAUAGCAGAUGCCACCGUCCUCUGCCACCAGCUCAACUGUGGCAACGCGGUGGCCGCACCUGGAGGAGGCCAUUUUGGGGACGGGGACGCUGCCAUCUGGCCUGACGCCUUUCACUGUGAGGGGACAGAGCCCUACUUGUGGAAUUGCCCAGUAAGCACCCUGGGGGCCCCAGCCUGUGCCCCGGGAAACACAGCCUCCGCGGUCUGCUCAGGUCUGCCCCACGCCCUGCGACUGAGGGAAGGACAGAGCCGCUGUGACGGCCGCGUGGAGGUCUCCCUGGAUGGCGUGUGGGGCCGCGUCCUGGACGAUGCCUGGGACCUGCACGGCGCGGGCGUGGUGUGCCGGCAACUCGGGUGCGGAGGGGCCCAGCAAGCCUAUGACGCACCUGCCCCCAGCCGCGGAUCCGUCCAGGUGGCGCUGAGCCGCGUGCGCUGUCUGGGCACCGAAACCCGCCUGACUCAGUGCAACGUGUCCGCGACCCUGCAGGAGCCCGCGGGGACCUCGCGGGACGCUGGCGUGGUGUGCUCCGGUGAGGGCGGAACCGCGUCCCCCAUGGCCCGUCGCCACGGGAUCCCGGGCGCCCUGACUCUGUCUCUCCACAGGGAGCCUCAGGGUGCGGCUGGCCGCGGGGCCGGGGCGCUGUGCGGGGCGCGUGGAGGUGCUGCACGGGGGCGCGUGGGGCACCGUGUGUGGCGAUGCCUGGGACCUGCGGGACGCGCACGUGGUCUGCAGGCAGCUGGGCUGUGGCCGCGCCCUGAGCGCCCUGGGGGCCGCACACUUCGGAGCCGGGGCAGGGCGCAUCUGGCUGGACGAGCUGGGCUGCCAGGGCCACGAGUCUGCGCUGUGGCAGUGCCCGUCGGCGGGCUGGGGGCGGCACGACUGCAGGCACAAGGAGGACGCCGGCGUCUUCUGCUCAGAGUCGGUGGCUCUGAGGCUGCGAGGUGGGACCUGCUGCUGUGCUGGGUGGCUGGACGUGUUCUGCAAUGGGACCUGGGGCGCCGUGUGCAGCAAUGCCCUGAAGGACCUCUCCUUGUCCAUCAUCUGCAAGCAGCUGGGGUGUGGGGAGUGGGGCUGGCUGGAGAACAGGCCCUUCCCCUCUGCGGGCACCGGGACCGCCUGGGUGGACAACAUCGAGUGCUGCAGGCUGCCCAACUCCACUCUGUGGCAAUGCCCUUCCCACCCAUGGCACCCGCACUCUUGCGACCUUUGAGAGCAGGUCUGGAUUACCUGUGCAGGUGGGCAUUAGAGGUCUCUGGGGGUGCCCGGGAAGAGGUUUAUCUGUCCUGACAGGUCACUUACAGGGGAUGCCAUUCAAUCAGAGCCUGGGCCUGGGGGUCACUAGGAUCCACAGCCUUCCUUCUGAAGCUUCUCUGGGCACCGAAGCUCUCAGAGCUGCUGUUUAACCCGCAGAAAAGGCAGGAGAAGUUCCUGAGGACCCCGGGGAGCCCCUCAACUGCUCCUCCUCGCUCGGCUGCCCAGGUACCCCUCUGUCCUUGUCGCUGUCCUCCUUCCCAUCCCGGUCCAGCCCCCGCAGUGACCGCAGCCCCUUUUGCAGAGGAGGGCGCACUGCGCGUGCGCGGGGGCGAGGACCGCUGCUCCGGGCGCGUGGAGCUCUGGCACGCGGGCUCCUGGGGCACCGUGUGCGACGAUGGCUGGGACCUGGCGGACGCGGAGGUCGUGUGCCGCCAGCUGGGCUGCGGUCGGGCCGUCGCCGCCCUGGGGGCCGCCGCCUUUGGCCCUGGCUCCGGGCCCGUGUGGCUGGACGAGGUGGGGUGCCGGGGCAGCGAGGCGUCCCUGUGGGGCUGCCCUGCGGAGCGGUGGGGACGCGGAGACUGCGCGCACAAGGAGGACGCGGGCGUGCGCUGCUGGGAGCCUGGCCCAGGCCCCCCACUGCCUGCAGCUCCCUUCCGGACAUUCUGGGUGGUCAGUGUCGUCCUGGGAGCCCUUCUUGGUCUUCUCCUUCUGGGCCUCAUGGCCUUUCUGAUUCUGCCUCGAGUCACGCAAGCCAUGCAGAGGGGUCUGGGAAGAUCCGAGGUAUCUCCUGGAGAAGCCAUCUAUGAUGUCAUUGGGGAAAUGCCGCUAGCAGGACUGUACGAGGAAAUCACGGAGGCCGAGGCUGUGCUCCAAGAUGAGGAGGACGGAAGUGUGGUGAAGGUGGACACAGAAGCCGCAGUUUCAGGGGAGGUGUCUAACCUCCUGGAGGGACAGUCUAUACGUGCGGAGGGAGGACACAGCAGACCUGUUUCUCAGGGAUAUGACGAGGCUGCGUUUCCUCUGGAGGAGAUGACGUUGUAAAGCACCCUGAGGAUGAGAUACACCAGCUGGCUGUCGAAAUCACAGCUCUUCAUUUUCUUGUAAAAUUGUAGUGGAUUUCGUGAGAACACCUUGGAUGCCUUUCUCUUGCAAUGUCCUCCACGUCCAUAUAAAAUCCAGUCCUUCCAGGCCCUGCCUGGCUCUAACCCUCAUCCCCUUCGAGGGCCAUCUGCUGUGGACAGUCGUGCUGUGUAACCUUCAGAUUUCCCACACAUUACAGCAAAUGCAAAUACACAUAGAAAUCAGUGGUUCCAUUUGUGGUUUAGAGACACAUGGUGCCAUCUUCAUCUUCUGCUCCACAGCUCGCUUCUGGCACCCAGCAGUGGGUUGCAGAGCUCCCCAUGCCAGAACCUUCCUCUUUUUUCUUAAAAACUCUUCUUAAUUGAAUCCAAAGUAUCUUUUAAAUGUUCUACUUGUGUAAUCAUGUCAUCUGUGAAUAUUCAGAUUUAUCUUCUCCUUCCAG
RNAcentral lists this small RNA (5080 nucleotides) under Pan troglodytes (chimpanzee). Its description in RNAcentral is "retained intron". The record is from RNAcentral. Lineage: Eukaryota; Metazoa; Chordata; Mammalia; Primates; Hominidae.